CCUACGGGAGGCAGCAGUGAGGAAUAUUGGUCAAUGGCCGGAAGGCUGAACCAGCCAAGCCGCGUGAGGGAGGAAGGCGCAGAGCGUCGCAGACCUCUUUUGCCGGGGGACAAAAGGCCGGCCUCGUCCGGUCCUGAGGUUACCCGGAGAAAAAGCAUCGGCUAACUCCGUGCCAGCAGCCGCGGUAAUACGGAGGAUGCGAGCGUUAUCCGGAUUCAUGGGUUUUAAGGGGUGCGCAGGCGGGCCUUUGAUCCGGCGGGGAAAUCGCGGGGCUCAACCCCGCCGAGCCGUUGGAACUGGGGGCCUUGAGUGCGGCGGAGGCAUGCGGAAUGUGCGGUGUAGCGGUGAAAUGCAUAGAUAUCGCGCAGAACCCCGAUUGCGAAGGCAGCGUGCGGUGCCGAGACUGACGCUGAGGCACGAAAGCGCGGGGAUCGAACAGGAUUAGAUACCCGAGUAGUC
Molecule: ribosomal RNA, 459 nt
Filed under: uncultured bacterium
Lineage: Bacteria
Description: partial 16S ribosomal RNA
Rfam family: Bacterial small subunit ribosomal RNA
Source: RNAcentral